Non-coding RNA from Phrynosoma platyrhinos (Desert horned lizard), 72 nucleotides. The record is from the annotation of a GenBank genome assembly. NCBI's taxonomy places the organism in Eukaryota, Metazoa, Chordata, Lepidosauria, Squamata, Phrynosomatidae.
GGUUAUGUAGUGUAGUGGUUUGAGUGUUGUACUACAACUGUGGAGACCAAGUUUCAAAUCCCUGCUGAAUCA